RNAcentral lists this unclassified non-coding RNA (247 nucleotides) under Hevea brasiliensis (rubber tree). The record is from RNAcentral. Lineage: Eukaryota; Viridiplantae; Streptophyta; Magnoliopsida; Malpighiales; Euphorbiaceae.
UUAUUAUGUCUUUUUUGCCACUUUAAUAUUCUUUAUAAUUUAUUUUAUGCAAUUGAAGGUGUGUUACUUGAACGUAAUUUAUAAUUUCUGUUUUUUUAAUUAUACUUUUUACCAGGCAACCCUACCAGAACAAAAAUACAAAAGAAAAAGGAAAAAAAGAUUCCACAGCUAAAAAAAAAUAUUACUAGUAAAAUAAAUAUAAAAAGAAAAGAAUCAACUCCUUGAGAUUGUCAAGCAGAUCUCACCG